This 253-nucleotide ribosomal RNA is filed under the name uncultured bacterium. RNAcentral describes it as "partial 16S ribosomal RNA". It matches the Rfam family "Bacterial small subunit ribosomal RNA", at positions 524 to 776 of the family's 1533-position model. The record is from RNAcentral.
UACGUAGGGUGCGAGCGUUAUUCGGAAUUACUGGGCGUAAAGCGUGCGCAGGCGGUUUUGUAAGCCAGAUGUGAAAUCCCCGGGCUCAACCUGGGAAUGGCAUUUGGGACUGCAAGGCUGGAGUACGGCAGAGGAGACUGGAAUUCCUGGUGUAGCAGUGAAAUGCGUAGAUAUCAGGUGGAAUACCGAUGGCGAAGGCAGGUCUCUGGGCUGAUACUGACGCUCAUGCACGAAAGCGUGGGGAGCAAACAGG